Molecule: ribosomal RNA, 450 nt
Filed under: uncultured Glomeromycotina
Lineage: Eukaryota; Fungi; Glomeromycota
Description: SSU rRNA
Rfam family: Eukaryotic small subunit ribosomal RNA
Source: RNAcentral
AGCAGCCGCGGUAAUUCCAGCUCCAAUAGCGUAUAUUAAAGUUGUUGACAGUUAAAAAGCUCGUAGUUGAAUUUCGGGGUUAGUAGAUUGGUCAUGCCUUUGGUAUGUACUGGUCUUACUGAUUCCUCCUUCCUGAUGAACCGUAAUGCCAUUAAUUUGGUGUUGCGGGGAGACUGGACUGUUAACUUUGAAAAAAUUAGAGUGUUUAAGGCAAGCUAACGCUUGAAUACAUUAGCAUGGAAUAAUGAAAUAGGACGUUCGAUCUUAUUUUGUUGGUUUCUAGGAUUGACGUAAUGAUUAAUAGGGAUAGUUGGGGGCAUUAGUAUUCAAUUGUCAGAGGUGAAAUUCUUGGAUUUAUUGAAGACUAACUACUGCGAAAGCAUUUGCCAAGGAUGUUUUCAUUAAUCAAGAACGAAAGUUAAGGGGAUCGAAGACGAUCAGAUACCGUCG